This 132-nucleotide small RNA is filed under the name Salmonella enterica. RNAcentral's name for it is "RtT sRNA". It matches the Rfam family "RtT RNA". Rfam says of the family: This family represents a bacterial cis-regulatory element known as RtT RNA. The exact function of RtT is unknown although it is thought that it may be involved in changing the cellular response in relation to amino acid starvation. Lineage: Bacteria; Pseudomonadati; Pseudomonadota; Gammaproteobacteria; Enterobacterales; Enterobacteriaceae. The record is from RNAcentral. RNAcentral also lists the same sequence under 1 other name.
UAUCUCUCCGUACGGGGAAGGAUGAGAAGCUUUGACUAAGGUUCGAUUCGAGCGAAAGCGAGAAAGCGUUGCCAACGGCAACGACCCGAAGGGCGAAGCGCGCAGCGCUGAGUCAACCUUCCCCCACCACCA